UACGGAGGGUGCAAGCGUUAUCCGGAUGCACUGGGUUUAAAGGGUGCGUAGGAGGGCAGGUAAGUCAGUGGUGAAAUCUCCGAGCUUAACUUGGAAACUGCCGUUGAUACUAUCUGCCUUGAAUAUUGUGGAGGUGAGCGGAAUAUGUCAUGUAGCGGUGAAAUGCUUAGAUAUGACAUAGAACACCAAUUGCGAAGGCAGCUCGCUACACAUAUAUUGACUCUGAGGCACGAAAGCGUGGGGAUCAAACAGG
RNAcentral lists this ribosomal RNA (253 nucleotides) under uncultured bacterium. RNAcentral's name for it is "partial 16S ribosomal RNA". It matches the Rfam family "Bacterial small subunit ribosomal RNA", at positions 524 to 776 of the family's 1533-position model. The record is from RNAcentral.